UUCUCUGUGUCUAUAUAUAUCUUAUUGGCUCUGUUUCUCCAGAGAACCCUAAUAUAGAUGAAGUCUCCGUAAAACACCAGGAGGGUGUUGGAAACAGAGAAGACUGUGUCUGAAGAAACUUGAAUCCGAGCUGAAACCAAUGUAUGAAAGAAAGAAGGAAAGAAAGGAAAAGUGAGAGCAUCGUAAUGUGGCAUGGAAGAAUGGUGUCACUGGAGAGUUUUACACUCCCUGAAGCAUGUCCCACUGAGUUCUGGGGUGGAGCAAGGUCAAUACAGGAGCUGGGAAGGAAAACAUUUUGGUUAGUGAGGAUGAUAGAAAUAGAGUCUUCCCCCCAGGCUUUCCUGUCUCCCCACUGUGGGAGGAGAGAGAUUGAAAGGAAUGCUGGGGCAUGGUGCUUACGAGUAGAAGAACAGUGAUAGAACUAUGAAUAAGGAAGUUGAAAGAAGAAAAACAAAUUUGGAGACC
RNAcentral lists this long non-coding RNA (465 nucleotides) under Felis catus (domestic cat). RNAcentral's name for it is "lncRNA (ENSFCAG00000049772.1)". Lineage: Eukaryota; Metazoa; Chordata; Mammalia; Carnivora; Felidae. The record is from RNAcentral.